RNA transcript from Syngnathoides biaculeatus (alligator pipefish), 2979 nucleotides. It is a transcript of the gene named LMBR1 domain containing 2b, with no coding region annotated. The transcript has 20 exons. Lineage: Eukaryota; Metazoa; Chordata; Actinopteri; Syngnathiformes; Syngnathidae. The record is from RefSeq and is a predicted model, not a curated record.
GGUUCCCCCGCGAUCCCGCCAGGACUCGACUGCGCAUGCUCGCUCGUGUGACGUCAAGGCCCAACCCGGAUGUGACGGGCGAUGCCUGCUCGCUUGCUAACUUUGCCGUUUGCGAGGAUUUUGCGCCCCAAAUCGCGUCCAUUUGCGGACAGACGAGCGAGCGAACAGGGGACGCCGUUGCCUUUAUUCCAAGAUAAAAGCCAUCAAGGGACUGACGAGAAGGGGUUGACUCAGAGCUGAAACGAAGUUUCAAAAUGCUCAAGUAACUAUAACAGGAAAGUAACUGAUGACUCCAGUAACGGCACCAGUCCGAUAAGUGCUGGAGUGACGAAAUAUCAAGUGAGCGGCGUUUGUCGUCGUCGGCGGCGGGUCGGGCGGCGCCCGAAGCCGGGAGGUCAAGAUGAGCGGGGCGGCGCUGGGCGCUGAGAUGGUGGUGGUGUUCUUCCUGGCGCUGUUCCUGCUGCAUCGCUACGGCGACUUCCGCAAGCAGCAGCGGAUGGUCUUGUUCGGAACGCUGCUGGCCUGGUACCUCUGCUUCCUCAUCGUCUUCAUCCUCCCGCUCGACGUCACCACGACCAUCUACAAGCAGUGCAAGACGGACAGCCGGACUCGCGCCACCGGUUCACCGCCGUCCAAUCAGACGUCGGGGAACUCGUCGGCACCCGCUCGGAGCGCGCCAGCGGCGUGCUACGAGCCGUGGAGCAACAUCCCGGAUGGCGUCAUGCCCGUCUUCUGGCGGGUGGUCUACUGGACGUCGCAGUGCCUCACCUGGUUGCUGCUGCCGUUCAUGCAGUCAUACGCUCGCUCCGGCGGUUUCUCGGUGGCCGGGAAAGUCCAGACGGCGCUGAUCGAGAACGCCAUCUACUACGGAAGCUACCUGCUCAUCUUCGGCUCGCUGCUCAUCUAUGUGGCCGUUCACCCCGAGUGGCGCCUGUCCUGGUACGAGCUUCAGACCAUUGGCAUCACGGCGGCCAACACGUGGGGCCUGUUCCUGCUGGUUCUGCUGCUGGGCUACGGCCUGGUGGAGGUCCCGCGCUCCUACUGGAACGCCUCCAGGCACGGACACUUGCUCCUCAAGACGUACUUCAAGGCCGCCAAGCUCACCACGGAGAAGGCGGACGCCGAGGAGAACCUGGAGGACGUCAUGGAGGAGGUGAGGAAGGUGAGCGAGGCCGUCAAGUACAACCAUCCCCUGAGGAAGUGCAUCGACACCAUCCUCAGGAAGUGCCCGACGGACUACCAGGACAAGAUGGGCCGCAACAUGGACGACUACGAGGACUUUGAGGACAAGCAGACCUUCCCUAGCGAGAGGAGCCUGGUCAAGCUUCACAAACGGGUGAUCUACGCGGUUCAGCGGCACAAUCGCACCCGCGUCCAGUGGCGCAUGCUCCUGGAGGAAGCCUUCCACCUGGAGGACGUGGCCAAGAACGAGAGCAGCUCCACGCGCCGCUUCGUGCGGACCUUCCCCGCCGCCGAGGCUCCGGGAUGGCCGCGCAGAUACGUCUACACGCCCGCCGCAGAGUGGUACUGGGAGUGCCUGCUGAAGCGCGGCUCCUACCGGGUCCUGGCCGCGGUCCUCGGCUUGUUCAGCGUCGCUGUGGUCUGGUCCGAGUGCACCUUCUUCAGCACCAAACCGGUCCUGUCGCUCUUCGCCGUCUUCAUCCAGCUGGCCGAGCGCGACUACAACUACGUCUACAUCCAGGUGGCGUGCUUCAUCACCAUCUUCUUCCUGUGCACGUGCGUGUACUCCACGGUGUUCCGCAUCCGUGUCUUCAACUUCUACUACCUGGCGCCGCAUCACCAGACGGACGCGUACAGCCUGCAGUUCAGCGGCAUGCUUUUCUGCCGCUUGACGCCGCCGCUGUGCCUCAACUUCUUGGGUCUCAUCCACAUGGACGCCGCCAUCUCGCACCGGCACAAAGAGCAGACGGCCUACACCUCGAUCAUGGGCUCCAUGCGCGUGCUGUCCUUCGUGGCCGACGGCUUCUACAUCUACUACCCCAUCCUGGUGGUCAUCUUGUGCAUCGCCACCUACUUCAGCCUGGGAACCCGCCUGCUCAACCUGCUCGGCUUCCAGCAGUUCAUGGGCGACAGCGAGCUGACGUCGGACCUGGUGGACGAGGGCAAGGAGCUGAUUCGCCGAGAGAAACGCAAGCGCCAGAGGACGGAGGACGGCGAGAACAGACGUCGCGAGCGUUACGGCGGCGCCAGGGAGGAGACGAGCGGCAGGGGCGGCAGCGUCCACCGGAUGGCGGAGGCCGGCGACAGACCGGGCAAGUUCGGCCGUUCCGCCGGUCGAGCGGAUCGCGACCGCGCGGAGCUGCUCCGGGACGAAGAACCCACGGACUUCAACGCCGAGUCGGCGGGGGACGAGUCGGCGGCCCACCAAGACGGAGGAAGUUGGCCCAAAUGCCAGUCGGCGACACAUUCGAGUCCUCAAACGUCAUCACGACGACGACAAUGCGUCGUUUGGUAGCGCUUUGGUGCAUUUGCGCCUUUCGGAGGACCGUCGCCGUCUUCCGCUUUGGGGAGACUUUCGGAGGCGAUUUUGUUCAGAAGGUCCCCAGAAGCACGACGUCAGAGGCGCCUCGCUUGAGUUGGGGGUCCGAUGCCCACGGCGACCCGGCCGAGCUUUGGAAAGGAGCAAGAGAGGAAGGGAACGAACAUCCACGGGCGGACGCUACUUGUCCAUGUCGUCGUCUCGCAGUCGCAUUUUUGACGACGUCUAAGCGAGCAAACGCGACGGCGGCGGCGGCGGGGGCUCCACCGGACUUCCGUCCGCCACCGGACCGGCAGAGGGCGCCAUCCACCACGUCUGCACGUUUUCCCUUCUCGGAUGAUGCCGACACGCGAAAACAACACUUUAUAAUUUUCCCUCUUUUAUCCUGUGCCACGGAUGCUGUUGUAUAGCGAUAGGAAAUAUUUAUGGAUGUAGUUUGUCAUUUGUGCCGUCAAACUCAGUAAAGCUCUUCAACAGUU